UACGAAGGGGGCUAGCGUUGCUCGGAAUUACGUGGGCGUAAAGGGCGCGUAGGCGGCCCGCUAAGUCGAACGUGAAAUCCCCGAGCUCAACUCGGGAACUGCGUCCGAUACUGGCGGGCUUGAAUCCGGGAGAGGGAUGCGGAAUUCCAGGUGUAGCGGUGAAAUGCGUAGAUAUCUGGAGGAACACCGGUGGCGAAGGCGGCAUCCUGGACCGGCAUUGACGCUGAGGCGCGAAAGCUAGGGGAGCAAACGGG
This 254-nucleotide ribosomal RNA is filed under the name uncultured bacterium. RNAcentral's name for it is "partial 16S ribosomal RNA". It matches the Rfam family "Bacterial small subunit ribosomal RNA", at positions 524 to 776 of the family's 1533-position model. The record is from RNAcentral.